GGGUUAUUUUUUCUACUCAAGUUCUGUGUUGAGCCAUUUUUGGGUCAUUUUUUCAGUGUUUGGGUAGUUUUUGUUUUACUCAGAUCCUAUAGGUCAGACGUAACAAGCCAUUUAGUUAUUUUUUCGCGGGCUUUUUUUGCGACCUUGUCAGAAGAGAGCAGUGCAGCUUGAUGGUGCAUGUCUUCGGUAAAAUACAGCUGCUGAAAUGGAUUUGAUCUCUGUGACCAGACCAGAGGAUUUGACCCCUUUGUUCAGUCACAGGUCACAAAGAAUUUCAACCAGGACUGUGGAAUUCAGGCCUGCGGUCGAUGAGGGUGAACCAGACCCCACUUAAGGGUUCGAUUGGGGACUUCACAGUGACGUGAUAGUUGAAAACCAGACUUCAUGAUCCUGUUUCUGGAGAAAACCAAAUGCAAGGGGCAACUGGAGGUUGUGGUUCUGAGGAACAAACAAGACCAAGCGAAUGUCAAGCUUUUCAGAAGAACACUUAGAUGGAUUUAGGUCAGGAUACAGGCUCUCAUGUGGCAUGUCAUCCAUGCACAAUUUAUCUGUGCUGUCUCAGAGCGUCACUCUGAUGGUGUUUUUAUGUCAUUUCGUUCAGACCUUCUGUCCGGAUUUCUUUUAUGGCCGUGGCUUUCCAACAUUUUGUUUUACUGUUCAUUAGAAAUUCUAAGUAAUAAAUUACCAUGUUUUUAUA
Molecule: long non-coding RNA, 697 nt
Organism: Ctenopharyngodon idella (grass carp)
Lineage: Eukaryota; Metazoa; Chordata; Actinopteri; Cypriniformes; Xenocyprididae
Exons: 2
Source: RefSeq, a predicted model, not a curated record